GAAUAUUGGACAAUGGGGGCAACCCUGAUCCAGCCAUGCCGCGUGUGUGAAGAAGGCCUCUUGGUUGUAAAGCACUUUAAGCAGUGAAGAAGACUCCAUGGUUACUACCCAUGGACGAUGACACUAGCUGCAGACUAAGACCCGGCUAACUCUGCGCCCGCAACCGCGGUAAUACAGAGGGUGCAAGAUUUAAUCGGAAUUACUGGGCGUAAAUCGAGCGUAGGUGGCUUGAUAAGUCCGAUGUCAAAUCCCCGGGCUGAACCUGAGAACUGCAUCUGAUACUGUUAGGCUAGUAUAGGUGAGAGGAAGGUAGAAUUCCAGGUGUAGCGGUGAAAUGCGUAGAUAUCUGGAGGAAUACCGAUGGCGAAGGCAGCCUUCUGGCAUCAUAUUGACACUGAGGUUCGAAAGCGUGGGUAGCAAAC
Molecule: ribosomal RNA, 422 nt
Filed under: uncultured bacterium
Lineage: Bacteria
Description: partial 16S ribosomal RNA
Rfam family: Bacterial small subunit ribosomal RNA
Source: RNAcentral